Regulatory RNA element from Clostridium botulinum A str. ATCC 3502, 175 nucleotides. It matches the Rfam family "Lysine riboswitch aptamer". From Rfam's summary of the family: Riboswitches are metabolite binding domains within certain messenger RNAs that serve as precision sensors for their corresponding targets. Allosteric rearrangement of mRNA structure is mediated by ligand binding, and this results in modulation of gene expression. Lineage: Bacteria; Bacillati; Bacillota; Clostridia; Eubacteriales; Clostridiaceae. The record is from Rfam.
UAAGUAGAUAGAGGUGCGAUGUUAAUUAGUACUUUUACGAAGGUAAGCGCUAUGAAGUAAAAGGAAAGGGAAUAUCGCCGAAGUACACAGCUGAUGCUUUAAGGUUGUAUACUGGGGUUGCAUAGAAUAUGUGUAACACUGUCACAAAUUUAUUUUGUGGAGAGCUAUCAUUCAA